RNAcentral lists this ribosomal RNA (153 nucleotides) under uncultured bacterium. RNAcentral's name for it is "partial 16S ribosomal RNA". It matches the Rfam family "Bacterial small subunit ribosomal RNA", at positions 360 to 529 of the family's 1533-position model. The record is from RNAcentral.
AAUAUUGGACAAUGGGCGAGAAGCCUGAUCCAGCAACGCCGCGUGAGUGAUGAAGGCCUUCGGGUUGUAAAGCUCUUUUAUUCGGGAAGAAAAUGAAAGUAUCGGGAGAAUAAGAUCCGGCUAACUCCGUGCCAGCAGCCGCGGUAAUACGGA